AAAGUAGAAAUAACAUAUUUUGUAAUUAAGCAAGUGAUGGGUUAGCAGGGAAUUUCGAGGACGAAAUUCCUUUUAGAGAGGGAGAUUUGUAAUACCCCAAAAUAGGGCCAGGAAUUUUAAGGGUAAUUUAGGAAUUUCAGCCUUAGAGUGUUCGAAAUUUUGCGACAUGAUUUAUCAGUAAUGUUUUUUACCGUAAUUUUUAGGAAAUUAAAUCAAUUUUUG
RNAcentral lists this long non-coding RNA (222 nucleotides) under Gossypium raimondii (Peruvian cotton). RNAcentral describes it as "long non-coding RNA (GRAI_LNC004303)". The record is from RNAcentral. Lineage: Eukaryota; Viridiplantae; Streptophyta; Magnoliopsida; Malvales; Malvaceae.